GGGUUGCUAACUCAACGGUAGAGUACUCGGCUUUUAAGCGACUAGCUCCGGGUUCGAAUCUCGGGUAACCCAC
RNAcentral lists this transfer RNA (73 nucleotides) under Strobilanthes tonkinensis. RNAcentral describes it as "tRNA-Lys". It matches the Rfam family "tRNA". From Rfam's summary of the family: Transfer RNA (tRNA) molecules are approximately 80 nucleotides in length. Their secondary structure includes four short double-helical elements and three loops (D, anti-codon, and T loops). The record is from RNAcentral. Lineage: Eukaryota; Viridiplantae; Streptophyta; Magnoliopsida; Lamiales; Acanthaceae.